GCAAAGACUACUGUAGGCAGUAUCAAUUGAAUCAAUUGUUAGAAACCUGUUUCGAGAAGUUUUGGAAUAUUCGUAUUUCAACAUUUUAUUGGCUCUAAAUUGUUCAAAAAUCUCAAAUUUUGGAAAGUUUGAAAUUCUGUGCAUUUAUUCAACUUUUUGUUCUCUGAUUCCAAUCUUCAAUCUUCAUUAAAUACAACUUCAUACAAAUUUUUCUUCUUCACAUCAAACACCGUUUGGUCCGUUUCCUUUCGUCGCUUGGAGACCUACAUGGCAACAUUGACUCCACGUGUAUGUAGAAGAAGGGUCCCAUUCUCCACGCUUUACUACACUCUAUACUGAAUUUUCCAUUUAUUUUCUUGUCCUUUUCAUU
This is a long non-coding RNA of Caenorhabditis elegans, 370 nucleotides long. Ensembl annotates it as ncRNA. Its record names the gene R144.19. Lineage: Eukaryota; Metazoa; Nematoda; Chromadorea; Rhabditida; Rhabditidae. The record is from Ensembl.